GAUGAAGAACGUAGCGAAAUGCGAUAAGUAAUGUGAAUUGCAGAAUUCAGUGAAUCAUCGAAUCUUUGAACGCAUCUUGCGCUCCUUGGUAUUCUGAGGAGCAUGCCUGUUUGAGUGUCAUUAAAUUCUCAACUACACUGACUUUGAAUUGGUGUGGCUUGGAUUUGGGGGGAAAAUUGUUGUGGGCUUUUUGUAUAGUCUGCUCCCCUGAAAUUGAUUAGCGGUACCUUUGUGGAACUGUCUACAGGUGUGAUAAUUAUCUACAUCUUAGACAUCUGCUGGAAUGCUGCUUUCUAAACCUUACUGGUAUUGACAAUCUUGACCUCAAAUCAGGUAGGACUACCCGCUGAACUUAAGCAUAUCAAUAAGCGGAGGA
RNAcentral lists this unclassified non-coding RNA (376 nucleotides) under soil metagenome. Its description in RNAcentral is "partial contains 5.8S ribosomal RNA, internal transcribed spacer 2, and large subunit ribosomal RNA". The stretch from base 1 to 120 matches the Rfam family "5.8S ribosomal RNA", at positions 35 to 154 of the family's 154-position model. The record is from RNAcentral.